UACGGAGGGAGCUAGCGUUGUUCGGAAUUACUGGGCGUAAAGCGCGCGUAGGCGGCUUUGUAAGUUAGAGGUGAAAGCCCGGGGCUCAACCCCGGAAUUGCCUUUAAGACUGCAUCGCUUGAAUCCGGGAGAGGUGAGUGGAAUUCCGAGUGUAGAGGUGAAAUUCGUAGAUAUUCGGAAGAACACCAGUGGCGAAGGCGGCUCACUGGACCGGUAUUGACGCUGAGGUGCGAAAGCGUGGGGAGCAAACA
This 251-nucleotide ribosomal RNA is filed under the name uncultured prokaryote. RNAcentral's name for it is "partial 16S ribosomal RNA". It matches the Rfam family "Bacterial small subunit ribosomal RNA", at positions 524 to 774 of the family's 1533-position model. The record is from RNAcentral.